This 23-nucleotide unclassified non-coding RNA is filed under the name Pristionchus pacificus. Its description in RNAcentral is "trans-spliced leader sequence SL-2". Lineage: Eukaryota; Metazoa; Nematoda; Chromadorea; Rhabditida; Neodiplogasteridae. The record is from RNAcentral.
GGUUUUAACCCAGUAUCUCAAGA